RNAcentral lists this ribosomal RNA (496 nucleotides) under uncultured bacterium. Its description in RNAcentral is "partial 16S ribosomal RNA". It matches the Rfam family "Bacterial small subunit ribosomal RNA", at positions 28 to 507 of the family's 1533-position model. The record is from RNAcentral.
GAUGAACGCUGGCGGCGUGCCUAAUACAUGCAAGUCGAGCGCACGGACUUGGAGCUUGUUUCUCUGAUGUUAGCGGCGAACGGGUGAGUAACACGUGGAUAACCUACCUAUGAGACUGGGAUAACUUCGGGAAACCGUAGCUAAUACCGGAUAAUAUUUUGAACCACAUGGUUCAAGAGUGAAAGACGCUCUUGCUGUACCUUAUAAAUAGCCCGCGCCGUAUUAGCCAGUUGGGAAGGUAAAGGCUUACCAAGGCAACGAUGCAUAGCCGACCUGAGAGGGGGAUCGCCCACACUGGAACUGAGACACGCUCCAGACUCUUACGGGAGGAAGCGGUGGGGAAUCUUCGGCAAAGGGCGAAAGCCUGACGGAGCAACGCCGCGGGAGUGAUGAAGGUCUUCGGAUCUUAAAACUCUUUUAUUAGGGAGGAACAUAGGUGGAAGUAACUGCGCACCUCGUGACGGUACCUAAUCAGAAAGCGACGGCUAACUACGUG